AGUGAACGCUGGCGGCGUGCCUAAUACAUGCAAGUCGAACGGAGUGGCGCACGGGUGAGUAAUGUAUAGCUAAUCUGCCCUACACUAGAGGACAACAGUUGGAAACGACUGCUAAUACUCCAUAGUGUAGGAUGAGGCUAUAUUGUAUCAGCUAGUUGGUGAGGUAAUGGCUGACCAAGGCUAUGACGCAUAACUGGUCUGAGAGGAUGGUCAGUCACACGGGAACUGAGACACGGUCCAGACUCCUACGGGAGGCAGCAGUAGGGAAUAUUACUCGAUGGAGGAAACCCAGAAGCAGCAACAAAGCGUGGGGGAUGACACUUUUCGAAGCAUAAACUCCUUGUGUUAGGAAAGCGGUACCUAACGAAAAAGCACCGGCUAACUCCGUGCCAGCCGCCGCGGUAAUUC
This 408-nucleotide ribosomal RNA is filed under the name uncultured bacterium. RNAcentral describes it as "partial 16S ribosomal RNA". It matches the Rfam family "Bacterial small subunit ribosomal RNA", at positions 29 to 526 of the family's 1533-position model. The record is from RNAcentral.